UACGUAGGGGGCAAGCGUUGUCCGGAUUUAUUGGGCGUAAAGAGCGUGUAGGCGGCUGGGUAGGUCCGUUGUGAAAACUCGAGGCUCAACCUCGAGACGCCGAUGGAAACCCUCCAGCUAGAGUCCGGAAGAGGAGAGUGGAAUUCCUGGUGUAGCGGUGAAAUGCGCAGAUAUCAGGAAGAACACCCCGUGGCUAAGGCGGCUCUCUAGUACGGUACUGACGCUGAGACGCGAAAGCGUGGGGAGCGAACAGG
RNAcentral lists this ribosomal RNA (254 nucleotides) under uncultured bacterium. RNAcentral describes it as "partial 16S ribosomal RNA". It matches the Rfam family "Bacterial small subunit ribosomal RNA", at positions 524 to 776 of the family's 1533-position model. The record is from RNAcentral.